UACGGAGGGUGCGAGCGUUGUCCGGAAUCACUGGGCGUAAAGGGCGCGUAGGUGGCCUGUGGAAGUCUGCGGUGAAAGCCCGGCGCUCAACGCCGGGUCGGCCGUGGAUACUCUCGGGCUCGAGCUUACUAGAGGCAGAUGGAAUUCCGGGUGUAGCGGUGGAAUGCGUAGAGAUCCGGAAGAACGCCGGUGGCGAAGGCGGUCUGCUGGGGUAAUGCUGACACUGAUGCGCGACAGCGUGGGGAGCAAACAGG
RNAcentral lists this ribosomal RNA (254 nucleotides) under uncultured bacterium. Its description in RNAcentral is "partial 16S ribosomal RNA". It matches the Rfam family "Bacterial small subunit ribosomal RNA", at positions 524 to 776 of the family's 1533-position model. The record is from RNAcentral.